UAUGUAGAUCACCGUCAAUUGGACGUAGUUACGCAGAAAGGACUCAACCCACACAAACCUAGUUCUGAGAUAUAGACGUUUUAAGUUCUAAUCGGUAUUCUUCAGCAAUGAAAAGCAUCUUAUAUGU
Plutella xylostella (diamondback moth) is the source of this 127-nucleotide non-coding RNA. NCBI's taxonomy places the organism in Eukaryota, Metazoa, Arthropoda, Insecta, Lepidoptera, Plutellidae. The record is from RefSeq and is a predicted model, not a curated record.